AUUGAACGCUGGCGGCAGGCCUAACACAUGCAAGUCGAACGAGUGGCGGACGGGUGAGUAAUGUCUGGGAAACUGCCUGAUGGAGGGGGAUAACUACUUGAAACGGUAGCUAAUACCGCAUACCAUCGGAUGUGCCCAGAUGGGAUUAGCUAGUAGGUGGGGUAAAGGCUCACCUAGGCGACGAUCCCUAGCUGGUAUGAGAGGAUGCCCAUCCACACUGGAACUGAGACACGUGCCAGACUCCUACGGGAGUCAGCAGUGGGGAAUAUUGCACAAUGGGAGCAAGCCUGAUGCAGCCAUGCCGCGUGUAUGAAGAAGGCCUUCGGGUUGUAAAGUACUUGCAGCGGGGAGGCGUUACCCGCAGAAGAAGCACCGGCUAACUCCGUGCCAGCAGCCGCGGUAAUUC
RNAcentral lists this ribosomal RNA (406 nucleotides) under uncultured bacterium. RNAcentral describes it as "partial 16S ribosomal RNA". It matches the Rfam family "Bacterial small subunit ribosomal RNA", at positions 30 to 526 of the family's 1533-position model. The record is from RNAcentral.